UAAGCGAAGUCUUUGGAUUAAAUUUAAAGAAGGUAUUUCACAAUUAUUGUCACCUAUCUUAUAAAAUAGAAAUAUGAGGAGUGUAACUUUAAUGCAACAAUCAGACGUCAUUAGUGCUGC
This 120-nucleotide small RNA is filed under the name Staphylococcus aureus. Its description in RNAcentral is "HMPRNC0000_2302". Lineage: Bacteria; Bacillati; Bacillota; Bacilli; Caryophanales; Staphylococcaceae. The record is from RNAcentral.